GUGGGCGCCAAGCCAAGGUGUGUGGCGCCAAACAAGCUUCCCAUUGCAGCCAGCAUGAACCUUGCUACCACCCACAGCAAGCUCAACAUACCACAUGUCUGGAUUCAUCUGCCAAAGAACAAAUCCACCCGUCUCAGCACCCCUAGCACCGUUACGAUUCUUCACCACUUUUGUGGCUGUCUCGAACUCGGAGGUUAUCAUCUUAAUCU
Molecule: long non-coding RNA, 209 nt
Filed under: Linum usitatissimum (flax)
Lineage: Eukaryota; Viridiplantae; Streptophyta; Magnoliopsida; Malpighiales; Linaceae
Description: long non-coding RNA (LUSI_LNC000110)
Source: RNAcentral